RNAcentral lists this transfer RNA (72 nucleotides) under Aspergillus steynii IBT 23096. It matches the Rfam family "tRNA". Rfam says of the family: Transfer RNA (tRNA) molecules are approximately 80 nucleotides in length. Their secondary structure includes four short double-helical elements and three loops (D, anti-codon, and T loops). Further hydrogen bonds mediate the characteristic L-shaped molecular structure. tRNAs have two regions of fundamental functional importance: the anti-codon, which is responsible for specific mRNA codon recognition, and the 3' end, to which the tRNAs corresponding amino acid is attached (by aminoacyl-tRNA synthetases). tRNAs cope with the degeneracy of the genetic code in two manners: having more than one tRNA (with a specific anti-codon) for a particular amino acid; and 'wobble' base-pairing, i.e. permitting non-standard base-pairing at the 3rd anti-codon position. Lineage: Eukaryota; Fungi; Ascomycota; Eurotiomycetes; Eurotiales; Aspergillaceae. The record is from Rfam by way of RNAcentral.
GGGGAUGUGGUUUAGUGGUAUAACGUUCGCUUAGCAUGCGAAAGGUCUGGGGUUCGAUUCCCCACCUCUCCA